GACGAACGCUGGCGGCGUGCCUAAUACAUGCAAGUAGAACGCUGAAGGAGGAGCUUGCUUCUCUGGAUGAGUUGCGAACGGGUGAGUAACGCGUAGGUAACCUGCCUGGUAGCGGGGGAUAACUAUUGGAAACGAUAGCUAAUACCGCAUAAGAGUAGAUGUCGCAUGACAUUUGCUUAUAAGGUGCAAUUGCAUCACUACCAGAUGGACCUGCGUUGUAUUAGCUAGUUGGUGAGGUAACGGCUCACCAAGGCAACGAUACAUAGCCGACCUGAGAGGGUGAUCGGCCACACUGGGACUGAGACACGGCCCAGACUCCUACGGGAGGCAGCAGUAGGGAAUCUUCGGCAAUGGACGGAAGUCUGACCGAGCAACGCCGCGUGAGUGAAGAAGGGUGUCGGAUCGUAAAGCUCUGUUGUAAGAGAAGAACGAGUGUGAGAGUGGAAAGUUCACACUGUGACGGUAUCUUAACAGAAAGGGACGGCUAACUACGUG
This 495-nucleotide ribosomal RNA is filed under the name uncultured bacterium. Its description in RNAcentral is "partial 16S ribosomal RNA". It matches the Rfam family "Bacterial small subunit ribosomal RNA", at positions 28 to 507 of the family's 1533-position model. The record is from RNAcentral.